RNAcentral lists this long non-coding RNA (464 nucleotides) under Homo sapiens (human). RNAcentral's name for it is "HSALNT0393255". Lineage: Eukaryota; Metazoa; Chordata; Mammalia; Primates; Hominidae. The record is from RNAcentral.
UUGGAAACGGGAGUAUCUUCAUAUAAAAUCUAGACAGAAACAUUCUCAGAAACUGCUUUGUGAUGUCUGCAUUCAAGUCACAGAGUUGAACAUUCCCUUUCAUCGAGCAGGUUUGAAACACUCUUUUUGUAGUAUCUGGAAGUGGACGUUUGAAGCACUUUGAGGCCCAUGGUGAAAAAGGAAAUAUCUUCCCAUAAAAACUAGACAGAAGCAUUCUCAGAAACUUCUUUGUGAUGUUUGUACUCAACUAACAGAAUUGAACCUUUCUUUUGACAGAGCAGUUUUGAAACACUCUUUUUGCGGAAUCUGCAAGUGGAUAUUUGGAUAGCUUAGAGGAUUUCGUUGGAAACGGGAAUAUAUACAUAUAAAAUCUAGACAGAAGCAUUCUCAGAAACUUCUUUGUGAUCUUUUCAUUCAACUCGUAGAGUUGAACAUUCCCUUUCAUAGAGCCGGUUUGAAACACU